CCCUUAGAUGUUCUGGGCCGCACGCGCGCUACACUGACGAAUGCAACGAGCUUAUAACCUUGGCCGAAAGGUCUGGGUAAUCUCCAAAUUUCGUCGUGAUGGGGAUAGAUUAUUGCAAUUAUUAAUCUUCAACGAGGAAUGCCUAGUAAGCGCAAGUCAUCAGCUUGCGUUGAUUACGUCCCUGCCCUUUGUACACACCGCCCGUCGCUCCUGCCGAUUGAAUGGUCCGGUGAAGCGUUCGGACCGUGGCCUUUGGACGGUUCGCCGUCUGUUGGCUGCGGGAAGUUCGUUAAACCUUAUCAUUUAGAGGAAGGAGAANUCGUAACA
This 327-nucleotide ribosomal RNA is filed under the name uncultured eukaryote. Its description in RNAcentral is "partial 18S ribosomal RNA". It matches the Rfam family "Eukaryotic small subunit ribosomal RNA", at positions 1470 to 1796 of the family's 1831-position model. The record is from RNAcentral.